AGCCGCCAAAGGUACAAGGAAGAGGAAACAAAGACAGGUAAAUCCAACACACAGCUUAUAAUAGAGUUCGAUUAAAUAGUCAAAAUACACUUCAAAUUGUAAAUUUUUUAACGUACCAAAAACGAUUUCGAACAAAAUGUUGAAGUAUCAAGUUUGAAAUUCAAUACCUGUAUCAGCGAGCAAACUGAAAGCAGCAUCUUUGUCAUGAAAAUUUAUAAACUUCACAAAGAAGAAUAUACCAAUUUAAGUUAGAAUUUUCCUUACAAAAUUACAAAUAAAAGGUAUAAACUUCAAAAAUCUUCUCCACUUUUUGCAUAAUAGAAGUUUUCUCAGUUAAGUAAUUUUCAGAGAAAUACGUUAACACAGCACAUUUCUUAUUGGUUAACUUUUAACAGAACGCUGUAAAGAAACAUACUAUCCUUUUUCUCGUCUAGUAAUCCUUUUCUUUAUCCACGCACCGAUUGAGAAGGUAGUUGCUAUUGUGAAAACAAUUCUAACACCAAAUAAGCAAAUGCGACAAAUUCUAAUUAAAUUGGUGUCCGUUUUCAAUUCAAGAUAUAUGUCCUUAUAUGUAGCAUAAUGUAGAGAAUAGCAUGACAAAAGAAAUUCAAAUGAUUCAACAGAGCAUUGCAACAUUCUUUAAAUGUCGGCCGCAACUGCUCCUUCAGCCUUAGCUUCAACCUCUGUUUCUUCGGGUUCUUCUUGGGAUUCAGCUUCAGCUCUAACAACAAAAGAACGACUUUCCCACUUUGAACAGCACAACCCAGAAGUUGAAAACAAAACAGGGAUACAUUCAACUGAGAAGGUCAUUGGAAAAUGCAGGUAGAAACUGCAAGUUUCUGUGGAAUAUACCUUGUGGGGGGAUGCCUGUAAAUACAAUUAUUAGAUAGUUGUUGGUAUAUAUGUUGUAAAAGAGCAGUCUUGGUUCGAUGAGAAGAAGAAACUUAGGAAGCAAAUUGGUCUUAUGAAUGAAUUGAGAGUUGUUGAGAAGCACAAGGACAACCUUAUAAUUGAAUUGAAUAGCAAGUUGGAGCAGAGUAAAGUAGUUGUUCAGUCAAAAGAUAACAAGGGAAAAUGCGUCAAGAUCUUGAAGAAAGGCUGAAAAAUGCGUCAAAAUCAUGUAAUUA
Molecule: long non-coding RNA, 1127 nt
Filed under: Capsicum annuum
Lineage: Eukaryota; Viridiplantae; Streptophyta; Magnoliopsida; Solanales; Solanaceae
Description: long non-coding RNA (CANN_LNC020741)
Source: RNAcentral